RNAcentral lists this ribosomal RNA (253 nucleotides) under uncultured bacterium. Its description in RNAcentral is "partial 16S ribosomal RNA". It matches the Rfam family "Bacterial small subunit ribosomal RNA", at positions 524 to 776 of the family's 1533-position model. The record is from RNAcentral.
UACGUAGGUGGCAAGCGUUGUCCGGAUUUACUGGGCGUAAAGAGCGCGCAGGCGGUCGUUCAAGUCGCGUGUGAAAGCCCCCGGCUCAACUGGGGAGGGUCACGCGAUACUGAUCGACUCGAAGGCAGGAGAGGGUAGUGGAAUUCCCGGUGUAGUGGUGAAAUGCGUAGAUAUCGGGAGGAACACCAGAGGCGAAGGCGGCGACCUGGACAAGCACUGACACUCAACUACGAAAGCGUGGGGAGCAAACAGG